CGCAUUACGCCGCGUGAGUGAGGAAGGACUUCGGUCUGUAAAGCUCUGUUAAUGUGGAAAAAUGCUUGCUGGUCUAAUAGGCCAGUAAGUUGAUGGUACACAUAGAGGAAGCACCGGCUAACUUCGUGCCAGCAGCCGCGGUAAUACGAAGGGUGCAAGCGUUGUUCGGAUUUAUUGGGCGUAAAGCGCACGUAGGUGGACUUGUAAGUCAGAUGUGAAAUCUCGGGGCUCAACCUCGAAACUGCGUCUGAAACUGCAAGUCUAGAAUCUUGGAGGGGGCAGGGGAAUUUCACAUGUAGGGGUAAAAUCCGUAGAUAUGUGAAGGAACACCAGAGGCGAAGGCGCCUGCCUGGACAAGUAUUGACACUGAGGUGCGAAAGCGUGGGGAUCAAACAGGAUUAGAUACCCUGGUAGUCCACGCUGUAAACGAUGAACACUAGAUAUUGGAGGAUUUGACCCCUUCAGUGUCGUAGCUAACGCGUUAAGUGUUCCGCCUGGGAAGUACGGUCGCAAGACUAAAACUCAAAGGAAUUGACGGGGGCCCGCACAAGCGGUGGAUUAUGUGGUUUAAUUCGAAGCAACGCGCAGAACCUUACCUAGGCUUGANAUCCUACGAACCUGGCUUUAACGCUGGGGUGUCCUU
Molecule: ribosomal RNA, 643 nt
Filed under: uncultured bacterium
Lineage: Bacteria
Description: bacterial SSU rRNA
Rfam family: Bacterial small subunit ribosomal RNA
Source: RNAcentral